UGACAUAUGCCGGGCUAGUGAUGGAC
RNAcentral lists this non-coding RNA (26 nucleotides) under Rattus norvegicus (Norway rat). The record is from RNAcentral. Lineage: Eukaryota; Metazoa; Chordata; Mammalia; Rodentia; Muridae.